Long non-coding RNA from Leptinotarsa decemlineata (Colorado potato beetle), 332 nucleotides. The record is from RefSeq and is a predicted model, not a curated record. Lineage: Eukaryota; Metazoa; Arthropoda; Insecta; Coleoptera; Chrysomelidae.
UAGAAAUCGGCUACUCCAUUGUGCUUUAAAACUUCCAUAGUUACUCCUGUUUUCAAGAGUGGAUGUAGAGAUGAGGUUUUAUCACGGUUUCUUCAGAUACUACAAGUUCGUAUUUUGGUACGUUAACAUCAAAGCUACUAAAAGGAUAUUUAUGAAUUUAUCUACUCCAGCAUCAAGGUCAUCGCAUCCCAAGAACAUCAUUAUCCAGUUUUUUAUAAAAUGCAUUUUUUUAAUUUUUAUUUUAACUUUUUGUGGUAAGACUAUUUGUAGUAAUGUUGUGAAGUGGUCUGUGAUUGUGGUUUCAAGUAUUAUGAGUAAAAUUGUAUCAUAAG